Molecule: long non-coding RNA, 1344 nt
Filed under: Sinocyclocheilus grahami
Lineage: Eukaryota; Metazoa; Chordata; Actinopteri; Cypriniformes; Cyprinidae
Description: lncRNA (ENSSGRG00000053947.1)
Source: RNAcentral
ACGUUUUAACAUGUAACACCACCCGGAACUUGUAUCACUGUCCGGAAACGACCACUGUGAGGCGAACAGAAGUACCCAAAGGAAGACGGGGGCACUAAAAAUUGACACGGGGCGGAAAAUAUUUGGCCGACCAUAAUCCGCAAAAAUUUCAGCGGAAAACGGACUGGAAGGGCAGUUUCGGUCGGAAUCUUAGGAUGAGAACGAUCUCGCGCGAGGUUGAGCGUUAGCGAGCGCAGCCAGCGGAAAUUGGGGUUUGUUUAACGGAUCGAAAGCGAUGGAGAGGCCUGCGAGAGUGUUUUUCCACGGGAUGAGGAAAAAUGACCUGCUAACCUGAAAUCGGAAACCGCCUUUGUGCACAUCUACGCUUUCGGCGCCCUUUUGAGCUUUAUUAUUUUCACGCAUUGCUCUUCGAGAGGACUUUCUCCGUUCACGAGCAGAGGGAUGUGAUUGAAAAAGGGAAUUCGGCUGUCCCCCUCUCCCUCAUCCCCCUUCACAGUCCACACAACCGUCCCGGAGAACAAUCGGCGCUCUUCUUUCAACCUGCAAAGGCUUUGGACUGACAGGGUGCCCACGGCAGAGAGGAGGAAGAACUUGGUCAUACCACUGUGCUGUGUUUGUGGUCUUCCAGCUGAGGUGUUCUAGACAGAGGUUGGAUACACCCUGUGGACUAUCUGACCUUUCACCUUUUCACUCCAACUUGGAACAAUUAAAAAAAAAAGUUGCUCACCAGAAUUUUCUUGUUAAAUGAAGACAUUACUGAGGAAAUCAAAAAGUGGGACCAUAAUAUUCAGAAGUUGUCAAAGGAAUACACCAAUAUCAAGAAAGAAAGACAUUCCCUAGUUGCUUCAGUUUUAAGUGGCUUUCAACACUAAAUGGUUUGCUUUUUAGUGAAACACAUUUUGUGAAGCAAAUUUUAAUAUGAUAUUAGUAGACAUGUUUACUGUUUUAACUGUAGAUAUAGGAAUUUUGAAAGACUAAUGCAGACCUGUGUUUAUUGCAUGAUAUUGUAAACAACCUUUACCCUUUUUUUAUAUUUAUAGAUAAUUAUUUAAUCCAAGACUUCCAGAGUUUUAUCACAUGUAGUGGCCCACUACUAUAGCCAAAACUCUGUUUGUUUGGGAUGGACAGUCAUAACAUCAGACAAAUUACUCCCACACAGGCAUUUCUUUGUAAAAACUGGAGCUGCUAGCAGAUUACUUUAAAUCUUUAUAUUGAUUAUUAGUGGCCCUAGUGGCAGAUUUUUUUUCUGCACAUCCUUUAGGUUAGUUUACAUUGUCCACUUUACUGCAACAGGGACAAGUAAACCUUUACAAGUGAACAGGGACAAAAAAAUCCUAGAAACGC